RNAcentral lists this long non-coding RNA (2135 nucleotides) under Sus scrofa (pig). RNAcentral's name for it is "lncRNA (ENSSSCG00005034709.1)". Lineage: Eukaryota; Metazoa; Chordata; Mammalia; Artiodactyla; Suidae. The record is from RNAcentral.
AUGAUUAUCGUCUGGGAGCAGCAGUGUUCAACUGUGAAUUUUGUAGGCUAUCUCCAAAAUACCCCUUGCCCUGUGAAGAUGCUGACAGAGAUAACAGUGGAGCUCCAAUAUGGUAAAGGAUGGUUAUCUUGGAGAAGAUAUUUGAUGUUGGUGUUGAAGAAAGUUCAGCAAUGGCUUGGCUAUGAAAUGAGAUGAAGAGUUCUGGAAGCCUGUGUAGAAAGGCUCAUAGAAGAAAGCAGGUGAGACUUUACUAAAAUACAUAAGGAGUAAUAUUUUUUUUUUCAAAAAGGGUAGUUCUGUAUAAUGUAAUUUUAGGGGGAGUCUGGGUGAAGGUUAUGUGGAACCUCUCUGUACUAUGUAGAUACUUGUGAGUCAAUAAUUAUUUCAAAAUAAAAAGUUAAAGCAAAUUUUAAAAGAUAAAACAAAAUGAGAAGGUUGAGAUGGAGAAAUAAACUGUCUUAAGACAAAUUUCAUUUGAAUAUGUGAAAGGAAACGAAUGAAUCUGUCAACAUUCUUUUUGUUGUUGUUGUUGUUGUUGUUGUUAUUGUUGUUGUUGUUGUUGUUGUUGCUAUUUCUUGGGCCGCUCCCACGGCAUAUGGAGGUUCCCAGGCUAGGGGUUGAAUCGGAGCUGUAGCCACCGGCCUACGCCAGAGCCACAGCAACGCAGGAUCCGAGCCGCAUCUGCAACCUACACCACAGCUCACGGCAACGCCGGAUCAUUAACCCACUGAGCAAGGGCAGGGACCGAACCCUCAACCUCAUGGUUCCUAGUCGGAUUCGUUAACCACUGCGCCACGACGGGAACUCCUGUCAACAUUCUUUAUUCAAUAUUCAGCAAAUAUUUUUUGUGCACUUUUCCCUGUAGCAAACAUUUUUCUUAAUGUUGAGGAUACUGUGGUGAGUAAGGUAAAGUUCCUUUUCUCAGAGCUUACUUUCCAUUACAGAAAUAUAGUAAGCAAAUAAUAGUCAAAUAUAUAGAUAAUAUUUCAGAUAAUAGUAAUGCUCAGAAGAACAAUAAAGCAGGGUAAAAAGACAGAGUGAGAUUGGCAAGUGCUAUGCUAAAAGCAUUCACGGAAGGCUGAUAAGGUGAUAUUUGGGCAGAAUAAGGGGAGGGAACUGAGCCAUGUAGAUAUCUGAGAAAACAUUGCAGAUAGAUGCUAUGGCAAGUGCAUAGGCUUUAAAAUGGGAGCAUCCCUGGCAUGUACAAAAAGCAGCAUGGAAACAGAGAAAAGGGUGUUGGAGGAUGAGCUCAGGGAUGUAGGGUGAGUACAGGAAGCAUACUAGGCCUUGAAGGCCAUGGUUAGGACUUUUGAUUUAUUCUAAGUGAGGUGGGAAGGUUUUGAUCAGAGCAGUGACAUAAUCUGAUUUAUAUAUAUUUUAGGGUUUUUUUAAUUGAAAUUUUAUUUUUUAGAACAGUUUUAAGUUCACAGAAAAAUUGAGGGGAGGGUGCAGAGAUUUCCCAUAUGCCUCCAGCCCCCAUUCAUGCAUAGCCUCAACCAUUAUCAACAUCCCUCAUCAGAGUGGUCCAUUUUUUACAACUGAUGAACCUAUAUUGACACAUUGUAAUUACCCAAAUCACUAUUGAACUAAUCCAGGUGAGCGAUAUUGAGGCUUGGAAUGGGACUUUAGUGGGAGAAGGAAUAAAAUAAUCAGAUUCAGGAUAUAUUUUGAAAGGAGAGCUUCAGUUGAGCUGCCAUUUACUGACAUGGAGAGGAUAGUGGGGGAAGGUAGGUCUGUUGGCUUUGGACAUGUAGGUAAGUUUGAGUUGCCUCAUAAAAAGUGAAAUAGUGGUGUCAGAAAGAAAAGGAGUCUGCAGUUUAGGGCUAGGUUGAGGUUUGGGCAUAAAACUUGAAAGCCAUCGGCAUGGAAAUGGUAUUCAAAGUCAAGAGGCUGGAUGAGAUCACCAAGAAAAUUAAUUUAAAUGAAGAAGGCAGGUUGACUCAAGAACUGAGCCUUGAGUAGUCCUGACGUUUUAAGAUGAGGAUAAAAAAGAAACUAAGAAGAAGCAGACUAUGAGGUAGAUCUGAGAAAGGUGUCCAGAAGUCCAAGGGAAAAAAAAAAUGUUUUAAGAAGGAGAACGUUGGGAGUUCCCAUCGUGGCGCAGUGGUUAACAAAUCCAACUAGGAACCAUGAUG